RNAcentral lists this ribosomal RNA (513 nucleotides) under uncultured bacterium. Its description in RNAcentral is "partial 16S ribosomal RNA". It matches the Rfam family "Bacterial small subunit ribosomal RNA", at positions 28 to 523 of the family's 1533-position model. The record is from RNAcentral.
GACGAACGCUGGCGGCAUGCCUAACACAUGCAAGUCGAGCGAACAGAUGAAGUGCUUGCACUUCUGACGUUAGCGGCGAACGGGUGAGUAACACGUAAGGAAUCUACCUAUAAGCGGGGGAUAACAUUCGGAAACGGGUGCUAAUACCGCAUAAUAUCUUCUUCCGCAUGGAAGAAGAUUGAAAGACGGCUCUGCUGUCACUUAUAGAUGACCUUGCGGUGCAUUAGUUAGUUGGUGGGGUAAUGGCCUACCAAGACGAUGAUGCAUAGCCGACCUGGGAGGGUGAUCGGCCACAUUGGGACUGAGACACGGCCCAAACUCCUACGGGAGGCAGCAGUAGGGAAUCUUCCGCAAUGGGCGAAAGCCUGACGGAGCAAUGCCGCGUGAGUGAAGAAGGCCUUCGGGUCGUAAAACUCUGUUAUAAGAGAAGAACAAAUUGUAGAGUAACUGCUACAGUCUUGACGGUAUCUUAUCAGAAAGCCACGGCUAACUACGUGCCAGCAGCCGCGGUAA